AGUAAAUUUUGACCUAGAAAACUACUAGUAUAUCUGGUCUUGUAAGAGGCGAGAUGCCUUAAGAAAAAUAAUCAUAACAACCUGAGACAUAAAGAGAGACGAACACGGAGCUUGCAAAAGAUUACGCUUGACCAAGAGUACAUUACUGAACUGGCGUUGGGAUCUCUGGUGCAAAACUGUCUAGCAAUCUAGCAAGUUUUUCUUAAGUAAACGUCAAGUCAUUAGACACUAAACUCAUUGCCGUGGUUUACUGGUAAUGUCUUGGUCAGAUGCAGACCAAACAUGUGCUGUCUUAGCUGUACAUUAAGCUCUGUAAUGCUUGAAAUCAAUUUAGCAAUGCAAAGGGGCUUUUCCAUGGCAGGCGUCACUGCCAAACACUAGCUUUUACAAAGAGGUGGGCUACUGACUCAAGCAACAAAACGAAACAGAAUUCUACAACUGACUAAAAUCAGGGUUCAAAGGAGGGAGGCGAAUUCCUCAGUCAAUCAUUGAAUAGAACUGAUCACAAAUGAACUGGAUAUGUCUAAUAAAAGCUGUUACCCACUGCUGCUGGAUUGGUCUGUCGCCUAGUCACCAACUCCACUCAACGUUGGAAGAAACGUCACCGGGACUGAUUGACAACAAACGUUGCAGAGACAAAGUCAGCAAAAAGCAUUCGGAGGGAGGCAGUUCUUGAGAAGACCAAUCAUUUCGGAGGAUGGGCGGCGCGACAAUAGCGCUGGUGGCUGCUCACCUGCUUCUGCUCAUUAAAGCAGGUCAGUCGAUAAGAUGCUACGGCUGCACAGGCUACGACAUAUCGCGUCCACUUCACCGAAUCACAAAAUAACCCGGCUGCGCUGAUGGCAACUUCGACUGGAGACAGGUGCAGAUUUACACGGCCUAUACACCUGGGUUCAGCUGUUACUCUUUCACCUACAAUAAUGGCCAACAUGAGAUCACCCAAAGGUAUAUGGUCCGGAGCCCACUGGCGCGAGAAGACGAACCCCUUUUGCCCAGGAACAGGAACAAAUACAAGGAGAGGGAAUACCGAGAGAGGGUACAGGGAGCGAGACUACAGGGAUAGGGAGAGCCGAGAGAGAGACUCGGAAUAGAAGGAACCAUCGUCAAAGGAUACUACUGCCACACGGAUUACUGCAACAACUCAAUAGCGUUGGCUUCCUCCUUAGUCCUACUUCUGCUGCUGAACAUCCUCGUGAUGCUUCUGCGCUGGUGGUAUUGAGUCUAGAGAGACAUCGGGAGUCUUUCUUUUGUUUUAAUACCUUUUUUAGGAGUCUUAUGAUACAGAAUCAUUAUUAUCAAAGGGAGGAAGGACGGUCCUAGCCUAUUUCAUCUUCAGUUCUUGUCACACACAACUGGAAAGGGACAUAAGUCUAACCCACUUAACCUUUCAAACUUUCCCUUUUUCAUUUUUAUCCAAGCUUCCGGAAUUUCCCUUGAACAUUUCGACAUCCUUACAUGGCAUGGAUGACCUUAUAUGACAUCUUUGACCUCCUAGAAAAACACCAUCGUUCCCUAGUAUGCCCCUCAUACCUCAAGUAUAAGGUGGUGUUAUUCGCGUGUAUUUCCAAGACUUCUGACAGUUCCUGGCGGAACCAGCUAAAGGAUAUGAACGUACUAAUGAUGAUUUCAAAAGGAGAAACUGUGAACGGCACGAUCUUCGUCCCUCACGUUCUCUUAACGAACGAAAAUGAUAGUUGUUAAGUUUUGUAAUGUUAUGAUAAGUUUAGUCAGGAUUGGCGUUGGAAGUUUUUUAUUUCUUAUUUUUGAAUUGUUUUCAUACUCUUGUCAUUUCAUCUUUCAAAUUUAAGCCUGACUUCCCUUAUGUAAUUAUUGAUAAAGCUAAAAAUAGUAUUUAUUCGUAGUACAUGGCCGUUAGAAGAGUGUGCUAUAGUAGCACUACACAAAGAGUAGACUAUGCUAUGCAUGGUAUUGUAGGACAAUGUUACUGCCACAUUUACAUGAUGUGAUUUCCCAAUGUUUAAUUCAUUUGAUAGUGCCAAAUCGCAUGUAAUUAGACUAUCUUAUUGGAGUAACAUUAACAUUACUUAUAGUCAGCGAAUGUUCAAUAAACUAUACAAGUAAGCAAGAAUACAGGAAGUUAACCAGGUCGAAAUGUACUUAAUAACAUAGUGCUAACAGAUAGUACUAACAGUUGUAAGAGUAUCAGCCUAAAGGACACAGAUCUUCUUGGGCCCCCCUGCCCGAAAAGAAACUAAAAGUUUUAUUUGUAGCAAUGCACAAAGUACAAACGUUUCGGAUUUCGUAGCUACUUUCUGUAGAAUUUGUAGUCACUUUGUACUUAUUCUCAAUUUUGUUGGAGUAAAUAUUGCACAAGUGACUCUAAGUUCUAAGUUCUGCGCCUGGAGCAGCCCGCAGGAGCAAAUUGGUACCUAUGGAUGGUAUUCUUGCUUCACAUGAUUUACUAACCUUUCUUAAUAAGAUUAAAAAACGUAGUCUUAUUAUUCCAUAGCAAAAAAAGAGUAGACUUUGCAAAACCAUUUCAAUUACAUUUAGGACUUCAGCUUAACAGGGGUAUCAAAAUCAGGACGAGUGAAAAAGCCUUUAGUAAAUAAUAAUUAAAGUGAACUUAUGUACAGUAUUCCUCACAUAGAUUAUUUUAUGUUUUCUAGUAAAGCUUAUUGUUACUCAUAUGUUAUGUAGAAUUAUCUUGUACUAUCAAAAGUACAAAUUACGGUAAAUAUAUCUUUUAAGUUGGUUCAAAAGUUGAAUAAACCAUUUUGAAGUAAAA
Molecule: long non-coding RNA, 2749 nt
Organism: Macrobrachium nipponense
Lineage: Eukaryota; Metazoa; Arthropoda; Malacostraca; Decapoda; Palaemonidae
Exons: 6
Source: RefSeq, a predicted model, not a curated record